AUUGAACGCUGGCGGCAUGCUUUACACAUGCAAGUCGAACGGCAGCGCGGGCUUCGGCCUGGCGGCGAGUGGCGAACGGGUGAGUAAUGCAUCGGAACGUGCCCAGUAGUGGGGGAUAGCCCGGCGAAAGCCGGAUUAAUACCGCAUACGACCUGAGGGUGAAAUCGGGGGACCGAAAGGCCUCGCGCUAUUGGAGCGGCCGAUGUCGGAUUAGCUAGUUGGUGGGGUAAAGGCUUACCAAGGCGACGAUCCGUAGCUGGUCUGAGAGGACGACCAGCCACACUGGGACUGAGACACGGCCCAGACUCCUACGGGAGGCAGCAGUGGGGAAUUUUGGACAAUGGGGGCAACCCUGAUCCAGCCAUGCCGCGUGCGGGAAGAAGGCCUUCGGGUUGUAAACCGCUUUUGUUCGGGAAGAAAUCCUCUGGGCUAAUACCCCGGGGGGAUGACGGUACCGGAAGAAUAAGCACCGGCUAACUACGUG
Molecule: ribosomal RNA, 484 nt
Filed under: uncultured bacterium
Lineage: Bacteria
Description: partial 16S ribosomal RNA
Rfam family: Bacterial small subunit ribosomal RNA
Source: RNAcentral